AGCUCAGCUGUUUCCCCCAGGUGAUCCCAGCUCAGGUGAUCCCAGGACAGGUGAUCCCAGCUCAGGUGUUCCCAGCUCAGGUGAUCCCAGGACAGGUGAUCCCAGCUCAGGUGAUCCCAGCUCAGGUGAUCCCAGGACAGGUGAUCCCAGCUCAGGUGAUCCCAGCUCAGGUGAUCCCAGGACAGGUGAUCCCAGCUCAGGUGAUCCCAGCUCAG
Myiozetetes cayanensis is the source of this 215-nucleotide long non-coding RNA. RefSeq lists it as uncharacterized. NCBI's taxonomy places the organism in Eukaryota, Metazoa, Chordata, Aves, Passeriformes, Tyrannidae. The record is from RefSeq and is a predicted model, not a curated record. The transcript has 4 exons.